GGGAUCCAAGUGACCGCAUUGCCAUCCUGCUUCCUCACUCAAUCGCAUACGAACGCACACCGGCUAGCCCACAGUAACGCGUGCCACGGCAGCUAAAGAGCACCGCAUCCAUUCUCCUGAGUUUUUUUUUUGUUUUGGUCCUCAACUCCGUUGUUGGCCCUCAUCGAGCUGCACACGUGUGUGUUUUUCCGGCGGUCGCUCUGAACGCUGCCGCACCUUCCGCCUUUUGUUUUCUCGUCACGUCACAGAGCGGAACCCGAGGACAACGCAGGAACACGACGCUCGCUCACAGCCUCCGCCGCAGUCAUGCAGUUUGUGAUCAACUCCUCGUCCAUUCUUGCGCCGGCGUUGCAGCAUGCUCUCGAGAGCGUCUUGAGUGUGCCGGCGCUGUGCAUCGAGAUGUGUGCCGAGGGUCCCCACCGCGUUACAGUAGAUGGGAAGACCUUCCGCGGGCUCCAGCCGUUUCUGCAGGCGCUGCGCCGCACCGCCGUGACACCGGAGCAGAAGGCCUUCCUCGGGGAGGACGAGGAGCAGGUAUCGCUGGUGAACCAGUGGGUUGGCGCGGCGGCUGUGCUAGACGCCGACGUCGCGCGCGCCGUUGCCGAACCUGCCACCUCGGUUGCCAAGGCUCUCUACAGUGAUGUGGAGCGCAUUCUUGUGGCGACGUCGAACGCAGCUUCGCACUACCUCACCGGUAGCGAGCGCGCCACAAUGGCCGACGUGCUCCUGUACGCCGCCGCCUUCAACCACUCGGCCCACACGGAGGUGCUGCCAACAACCAUGAAGUGGGCUGUGCACGCACAGCAGGACGCCUACCUGGCCCCCAUUCGCUCGUCGGCUGUGAAGACGGCGGAGAACCAUAGCGCUGGCAAGGCUCACGGCGCGACCAGGGCGGAGGUCUCCUACGUUAAGCCGUCCGAGGAGGAGAUUUUGCGGCGCCGUGCGGAGAAAGAGAAGGCAAAGGCGGAGAAGGCUGCUGCUGUCGCCGCGGCGAAAGCCUCAGCUAGCCCCAGCGCCCGCGCACCAGAGGGCAAGAAGGCCACUAAGACGCAGCUGGAUUCUACGAGCCUGUGCGUGCGUGUGGGGCAGCUGACAAACCUGCGCCGUCACCCUGGCGCCGACCGGCUCUACGUCGAGGACAUGGUGCUCGGUGAUGAGACACGCACCAUUGUGAGCGGGCUGGUGGGGAACUACGUGAUCGAGGAGCUGGAGGGCACGCAGUGCCUCGUCGUGUGCAACAUGAAGCCAAAGUCACUUAUGGGUGUCACUUCGCAGGGGAUGGUGCUGUGCGCCAAGAGGGACGCUGAAGUGAAGCUCAUCCGCCCUCCGGCGUGCGCCAAGCCAGGCGACCGCAUCCUAUUCGGCGCCUCGUAUGACGCUGCUGUCGCCGCGGCUGCCGCUUCGGAGCCGAUAUCGGGCAAUAAGAUGACCGAGGUUCUCUCCCACCUGCACACAAACGCCGACGGCGUCCUUUGCUGGAAGGAGGAGCCUGCGCGGCACCCGAGCGGUGCGGCGGUGGCCAUUGCGGACAUGGCAAACUGCCCUGUGAGCUGAGGCGCGGCCUCUACCAAAACACGUGGUACUGCGCGACGGACCGACGGGGCGACGGGGACCGGACAGGAGGGCAGGCGGGGGGGGGCGCCCGUUUGCGCGUUGCUCUCCAUCGAAGACGAAUUCCUUUUUUUUUUUCGCUGUUGUCAACACCUCGGCGCUUGUGAGGGCGAAGGGGGAAGACCCUGUUUAGAAGGGCGCAAGAUGGACAAGACGGCAACAGCCGUACCCGAAGAGAGAAUGCAUUUGGCUCUACUGUCGCGAUGCCUUCGUGCGUGUGCUUUCCUUUCAGUUUUCGUUAUGUCGCGUGCGUGCCCGCUGGUGCUCGCAGCUGUGUCUGUGGAUUUCAAGACGGAUGCGUUCUGCGUUCGCGUGCACAGGGGCGUUCUUGUAGGCCGCAUUGCGCGUUUGUGCACUGAUCGACUCACUCACGUGCGCGCCUACGCAGGGAAGGCCGUCUUUCGCACCGCCAUUUUUUCUUUGGUGCAUCCUCGAGCCAGAGGCCAUGCCACGCCUUGCGUCUUUUCCUCUCACUCUGCAUGCCCCUCAUGACGGGAAGCGGGCGCGCGUCAGCGCGUGACAGCGCAGGAUCGAGUGCACCCUCUCCCCAUCCCCUGCGAAUGCUGCACCACCUCUGGCGGUGACAGGGGCCCGGUGACUAGGACGUGGGGAGGUCAGAGCGAGUCGUCGUCGCGGAUGCCGGCGGCCAGGUCUUGGAUGGCGCUGCUUCGGAGCGACCCGCGACAGUGAGCACGUUUGCAUGACCCAUACGAUGCUUGCGAGCUGUCAGCGUGGCUUGCGCGCAUCCGCCCUCCCUCCUCCGGCCCUCGCACUGCCUACUGGUGCGGUGAGCCUGAGGAGCCACCGUGAGGGCGACGCACAAUACGACGACCGGCAUGAUGGGUGCGGCGGUGGGGCGACCUGCGAGGCGGCGCGUGGUGGGUGGGGAGCUCUGAGGCAGAGGGCAUGCCCUCAGAUGACUGGGUGGGCGCAUUGCUGUGACGUGUGUCUAGCGCUGCGUCGCACCACGCGGAUGUGGGCCUGCGACAGGGCCUGGGGGUGCGGAAGGUAGAGUGGGAGGUAGCAUAGCGGUCUGACCGACGGUCUAUGGCAGGAGGACGCGUAUUGGUAAGGCCGAAAAACCAAUGUUUUCGGGUUUCGGUCUAUCACGAUCAGGUUAUGGGGUGGCGGUGAUUCACUCACAAAGUAAUGGUCCGCGCGGUUCUGUGCAGACAGACGUAGAUAUGGAUAUGCGCCCCACCGAGG
RNAcentral lists this unclassified non-coding RNA (2817 nucleotides) under Leishmania donovani. RNAcentral's name for it is "gene:LdHU3.22.0660(CDS-product:Putative_tRNA_bind ing_domain_containing_protein_putative)". Lineage: Eukaryota; Euglenozoa; Kinetoplastea; Trypanosomatida; Trypanosomatidae. The record is from RNAcentral.